CAGUCCGCAUGUUCAUAGUGCCAGCAUUUGUUAUGGAAUAUGUUGAUCAAACCUGGAGAAGCGUCAGCUCAAGAUGUUAUCAUCGGACUUGAGAUAUGACUGCACUAUGCUGUUGCUGUGACUCCAGUUAAUUCUACAAGACAUGCUGUGACAACAGGAGAGAUGGGUCCUCCGUCACAGAUGGUGUGGUCAGUGAAGAUGGUCGCCUGCAGGUUCAAGCUCAUUGCAUCUCCAACCCACAUCCACUGCCACUCUACUUAAGGGAAGUUAAAGACUAGAGCAGGGCGA
This is a long non-coding RNA of Pelmatolapia mariae (spotted tilapia), 288 nucleotides long. RefSeq lists it as uncharacterized. Lineage: Eukaryota; Metazoa; Chordata; Actinopteri; Cichliformes; Cichlidae. The record is from RefSeq and is a predicted model, not a curated record. The transcript is spliced from 3 exons.